This 614-nucleotide ribosomal RNA is filed under the name uncultured Alphaproteobacteria bacterium. RNAcentral describes it as "bacterial SSU rRNA". It matches the Rfam family "Bacterial small subunit ribosomal RNA", at positions 8 to 665 of the family's 1533-position model. Lineage: Bacteria; Pseudomonadati; Pseudomonadota; Alphaproteobacteria. The record is from RNAcentral.
AGAGUUUGAUCCUGGCUCAGAACGAACGCUGGCGGCAGGCUUAAUACAUGCAAGUCGAACGGUUGUAGCAAUACAGCAGUGGCAGACGGGUGAGUAACACGUGGGAACCUACCUAGGGGUACGGAAUAACUCAGGGAAACUUGUGCUAAUACCGUAUACGACCUCAGGGUGAAAGAUUUAUCGCCCCUAGAUGGGCCCGCGUUGGAUUAGCUAGUUGGUGAGGUAAAAGCUCACCAAGGCGACGAUCCAUAGCUGGUCUGAGAGGAUGAUCAGCCACACUGGGACUGAGACACGGCCCAGACUCCUACGGGAGGCAGCAGUAGGGAAUCUUGGACAAUGGGCGAAAGCCUGAUCCAGCCAUGCCGCGUGAGUGAUGAAGGCCUUAGGGUUGUAAAGCUCUUUCGCCAGGGAAGAUAAUGACGGUACCUGGAUAAGAAGCCCCGGCUAACUUCGUGCCAGCAGCCGCGGUAAUACGAAGGGGGCUAGCGUUGUUCGGAAUUACUGGGCGUUAAGCGCACGUAGGCGGUUUUCCAAGUUGGAGGUGAAAUCCCCGGGGCUUACCCUGGGAACUGCCUCCAAGACUGGGAGACUCGAGUCCGAGAGAGGUGAGUGGA